UGGGGCCGCGCCCGAUCUGGUUGUUGGUGAGGUAACGGCUCACCAAGCCUAUAACCGGUACGGGCCGUGAGAGCGGUAGCCCAGAGAUGGGUACUGAGACAAGGACCCAGGCCCUACGGGGCGCAGCAGUCGCGAAAACUCCGCAAUGCACGAAAGUGUGACGGGGCUACCCCGAGUGCCAUCCGCUGAGGAUGGCUUUUCUUUGGUAUAACUAGCCAUUGGAAUAAGGAGAGGGCAAGACUGGUGUCAGCCGCCGCGGUAAUACCAGCUCUCCGAGUGGUAGGGAUGAUUAUUGGGCUUAAAGCGUCCGUAGCCGGCUUAGCAAGUUUCCUGUUAAACUCAGCGACUCAAUCGUUGGAUCGCGGGAAAUACUACUAGGCUAGGAGGCGGGGAGAGGUC
Molecule: ribosomal RNA, 399 nt
Filed under: uncultured archaeon
Lineage: Archaea
Description: bacterial SSU rRNA
Rfam family: Archaeal small subunit ribosomal RNA
Source: RNAcentral